UGAAAUCUGGCUCUCGGGCCCGAGUUGUAAUUUGUAGAGGAUGCUUUUGGUGCGGUGCCUUCCGAGUUCCCUGGAACGGGACGCCAUAGAGGGUGAGAGCCCCGUCUGGUUGGAUGCCAAUCCUCUGUAAAGCUCCUUCGACGAGUCGAGUAGUUUGGGAAUGCUGCUCUAAAUGGGAGGUAUAUGUCUUCUAAAGCUAAAUACCGGCCAGAGACCGAUAGCGCACAAGUAGAGUGAUCGAAAGAUGAAAAGCACUUUGAAAAGAGAGUUAAAAAGUACGUGAAAUUGUUGAAAGGGAAGCGUUUAUGACCAGACUUGGGCUUGGUUAAUCAUCCAGGGUUCUCCCUGGUGCACUUUUCCAGUCCAGGCCAGCAUCAGUUUGCUUCGGGGGAUAAAGGCUUCGGGAAUGUGGCUCCUCUCGGGGAGUGUU
RNAcentral lists this ribosomal RNA (430 nucleotides) under Fusarium decemcellulare. Its description in RNAcentral is "partial large subunit ribosomal RNA". It matches the Rfam family "Eukaryotic large subunit ribosomal RNA", at positions 116 to 557 of the family's 3401-position model. Lineage: Eukaryota; Fungi; Ascomycota; Sordariomycetes; Hypocreales; Nectriaceae. The record is from RNAcentral.